Molecule: long non-coding RNA, 403 nt
Organism: Anguilla rostrata (American eel)
Lineage: Eukaryota; Metazoa; Chordata; Actinopteri; Anguilliformes; Anguillidae
Exons: 2
Source: RefSeq, a predicted model, not a curated record
GCUCCUGAUGCAAGUAUAAUUGAGGUCGGCUCCUGCCCUGCAGCCGCAGGCUCAACUGCACGGCCUGGCGCGUCUUCACAAAAGGAAAGCCCCCACGAGGACUGCAACAACCGCAUUUCAUCCUUCUCUUUAAUAAGGCGGCUCCUGCCUCCACCGCAUAUUCCGGCGCUCUCUCAGCUACUUCAGUUGGUCUUCGCAUUAAUUAAAAGCAGGCUACGACGACGGUUCCUGGGAUCGAUGAUCUGUACCCUUGUGCAUUGCCGAUUCAUACUGAAAGCACAUCUUACACUUUCUGCGCAUGCGAAGCAGGCUAAUGGCCAUGUAUCCAGAACAAAGCAGAGUAACACAGUGACAAACGAUAAUUGCGAAGCCUAGGUAAUAAAUAAAAGCGCCAGGCAAUUCA